AUUCCAGCUCCAAUAGCGUAUAUUUAAGUUGUUGCAGUUAAAAAGCUCGUAGUUGGAUCUUGGGUCGUAAGGGUCGGUCCGCCUACUCGGUGUGCACCUGCCCUUCCGUCCCUUUUGUCGGCGGCGUGCUCCUGGCCUUAAUUGGCUGGGUCGCGGUUCCGGCGCUGUUACUUUGAAAAAAUUAGAGUGCUCAAAGCAAGCUUAUGCUCUGAAUACAUUAGCAUGGAAUAACGUGAUAGGAGUCUGGUCCUAUUGUGUUGGCCUUCGGGACCGGAGUAAUGAUUAAUAGGGACUGUCGGGGGCAUUCGUAUUUCAUUGUCAGAGGUGAAAUUCUUGGGUUUAUGAAAGACGGACCACUGCGAAAGCAUUUGCCAAGGAUGUUUUCAUUG
This 389-nucleotide ribosomal RNA is filed under the name Embryophyta sp. RNAcentral's name for it is "partial small subunit ribosomal RNA". It matches the Rfam family "Eukaryotic small subunit ribosomal RNA", at positions 582 to 975 of the family's 1831-position model. Lineage: Eukaryota; Viridiplantae; Streptophyta. The record is from RNAcentral.